RNAcentral lists this ribosomal RNA (341 nucleotides) under Solobacterium sp. RNAcentral describes it as "bacterial SSU rRNA". It matches the Rfam family "Bacterial small subunit ribosomal RNA", at positions 1 to 337 of the family's 1533-position model. The record is from RNAcentral. Lineage: Bacteria; Bacillati; Bacillota; Erysipelotrichia; Erysipelotrichales; Erysipelotrichaceae.
CAAAUGAAGAGUUUGAUCCUGGCUCAGGAUGAACGCUGGCGGCGUGCCUAAUACAUGCAAGUCGAACGCUGGAGAUCUAGCUUGCUAGAUUGAAGGAGUGGCGAACGGGUGAGUAAUACAUAAGCAACCUACCCACGAAGACUGGGAUAAUCUCUGGAAACGGGGACUAAUACCGGAUAGGUAAUCGGAAGGCAUCUUCUGAUUAUUAAAGGUUAAAAACACUGGUGGAUGGGCUUAUGGCGCAUUAGUUAGUUGGUGAGGUAACGGCCCACCAAGACGAUGAUGCGUAGCCGGCCUGAGAGGGUGAACGGCCACAUUGGGACUGAGACACGGCCCAGACU